RNAcentral lists this ribosomal RNA (47 nucleotides) under Symbiodinium sp. mizugama 7 col-6. RNAcentral's name for it is "partial 28S ribosomal RNA". The record is from RNAcentral. Lineage: Eukaryota; Dinophyceae; Suessiales; Symbiodiniaceae.
GUAGGUGCAUACCUCUAGCAUGAAGUCAGACAAGUGAACCCGCUGAA